GGGAGGGGGGAGGAGGAGGAGGAGAGUUUAGGGGAGCUGAGAGACGAUCGGACUACUAAACCCAGCAGGCCGACUGAGAGCGCUACGGCAGCCCGAUGGAGUCAAAGCUCCUCACCUGGUCAGAUCAGUGAGAGCGCAGAUGUGCCAGAAGUCAGUUUCGAAGCGACCAAUCAGGGCUCGGUUGCCCUGGGCGACCAGAUGAUGGAGCCAAGUGGCACACUGACCUCUGACCUCCUCAGCAACCUGUCACUGUCUCCACCUCCACACACAGCAGGACAGGUUGUUCUGGUCACACAGUUCGACACACAAACAGAGCAGCAGAGAGGAGGAGGAAGGAGGAUGGAUGUUCAUCUGCCCUCCAUCAGACCACAGCAGGAGGAAGAGGAGGAGCAGGAGGAAGAGGAGCAGGAGGAGGUGAUGGAGGAGGAGUCAGUCAGUGCAGCAGCAGGUUCAGACUCCUCCACUAACGACGUUUU
This is a long non-coding RNA of Scomber scombrus (Atlantic mackerel), 476 nucleotides long. RefSeq lists it as uncharacterized. The transcript has 4 exons. NCBI's taxonomy places the organism in Eukaryota, Metazoa, Chordata, Actinopteri, Scombriformes, Scombridae. The record is from RefSeq and is a predicted model, not a curated record.